AAUCAACGCUGGCGGCGUGCCUCAGACAUGCAAGUCGAACGAUUAAAGCUCUCUUCGGAGAGUGUAUAGAGUGGCGCACGGGUGAGUAACACGUAAGUAAUCUACCCUCGAGUGGGGAAUAACAACCGGAAACGGUUGCUAAUACCGCAUAAUGCAGCGGCACCGCAAGGUGACAGUUGUUAAAGAUUUAUCGCUUGAGGAGGAGCUUGCGGCAGAUUAGCUAGUUGGUAGGGUAACGGCUUACCAAGGCUACGAUCUGUAACCGGUCUAAGAGGACGGUCGGUCACACUGACACUGAAUAACGGGUCAGACUCCUACGGGAGGCAGCAGUCGGGAAUUUUGGGCAAUGGGCGAAAGCCUGACCCAGCAACGCCGCGUGAAGGAUGAAGUAUUUCGGUGUGUAAACUUCGAAAGAAUAGGAAGAAUUAAUGACGGUACUAUUUAUAAGGUCCGGCUAACUACGUG
RNAcentral lists this ribosomal RNA (465 nucleotides) under uncultured bacterium. Its description in RNAcentral is "bacterial SSU rRNA". It matches the Rfam family "Bacterial small subunit ribosomal RNA", at positions 32 to 507 of the family's 1533-position model. The record is from RNAcentral.